AAUCUGAAACAUUUUUGAGUUCGUGUGUGACAACACGCAUGUGCACUCAUACAUGCAUGCACCCUGCACAUCAGCACAUACUACUAGCACAUCACACACACUCACCACUCACGGGACAUACUACUAGCACAACGCACACACUGACCACUCACGCGACACACCAACGGAAUGCACGCACCCGACGGCAGCAAGCUACAACGUUGCGGAUUCGUCGUCGUCUGCGAUCGGAUGCCAUGGCCAUGCCCGACACUCCGGGCAAUCUACUCCGCCAGGUCCUGGCCCGGACGCCUCCAUUUUUCCUCGUACUUAUCCUCGUGUGCAGCGCGUGUGCACACACACAGAGAGAAGAAUUAUAGGGGAGCCACACACUGAUGCUGCUGGACACCUGCUAUUUCUUUUUCCUUCAUUUAACAUACACACUGAGCCACAUAGUCUGCCAGGAUGAACUUCCCUGUCUUUCAUACUGCUCGCAUGGGAUGGAGGGGUCGUAAUUCUUGUUUCCCCUGCACAUCACUCUUCAUGUGGUUCAUGAAGUAGUCUUCCUGGUAGAUGUCACCGAACUGACUGGUAGAAGAAGGAGACACAACAAAUACAUAAGACAAAAUUUGUCACCCUCACCUUCUACUGGGGACUUCUGCUCGCGAUGGCCUCGACCUCCCUGGCGCUAUGGGGCUGGACUGAGAUGGUGUUGGGUCAUCAUCGAGGAAUUGGGACUUGGACGGCGCCUGCACCCCAAUCCGGACUGCAACGGGCCACAUGGAGUACCCAGGAUCUGGAUUUUUGCAACUCCCUGGCGCUCUGCUGUGGCUGCAUGAACGCUGCUGCCAUCCAGCGGUGCCCCUGUUGUUGCUCCUAGAAAUCCGUCUCUAGCAUUCCGUCUCUAGCAUUCUAGUUAACAUCUGAACUCAUGUGUCAUGACAACGGUGGGGAGAUGGAGCCGGGCGAAGGGGAGCUGCAUCUCAUCUAGGGCCACACCCAUGGCAUGUGCGAGGUCGUGGCAAUCCCAGGGAUGCUUGUCGCGACAGCGAAUGGGGCGACAGCGUGUGGGGGCUGCCACGAAAGGAAAAGUAAUGAUGUUAGUAAAGAAAGAUAGGAUAAAUUAAAGCAUGUCAUUUAGGAAAAUAAAUGAAAGUUUGCUCUGCAUAAUUGCUCUCACAAAAUCAAUUUAUUCAUUUUCUAGUACCUACUUUUUGUAAUGCAGGUCGAGUUUUCAGUAAAGGUGCGCAAUCAUCCCAGAAACAAAGCAGUACCUCAAUUCUCUGUAGAUCAAAUUCCACAAAUCACUAGUCCCCUGUAUUUCCAGUGCAAGUGAAUAUGUUGAACUGAGCCAUCAAAAACUCUUUUUUUAACCUGAAAGUGGCGAGGGAAAUAAGAUAAACGGUUGUAUAUGAAGUGCAGACAUAACUGGACUACUACUGGCUAGUAAUUGAGCAUAUGCCCAUGAAGAAUUAACAGCUGAUCAAACAGCCACAUGAUCUGGUUUCACUCCUCUGAAUGCAAGUGCGCAGUAGUUCAAGAUGAACAUAGACUGAAGCAUAAUACAUCAGUUCUAACUAACAAGAAGUAAUUCACCUACUCAUUCUAUAGUGGUAUCCAUGAGUGGAUGUUUUAACUGCUCUGCUGGCGAUGAUGUGACCGUUCUAUUGGCGAUGAUGUGACUGUUCGCAGCACUGGAUACGCAUAAUUCUUUUUUAAGAACAUAUGAAAUGAAUUAUUGAAUCAAAAUAAAAAAGGGACUCUCUUUUUUAUGCAGAUGCAGACCCAAUUAUUUAUUUAACAUACUAUAAAGAACAGAGAAGCAUUUAUACUAACAUUACUGACUUGCAAACAAUAUUGUAGAAACAAACAUCAGAGCUACCUGUCGAUAGUCCAAGUACACACCUGAUGAUGAAAUCAAUUCCAAGCUCCAAAUGAUGUAGCAGCCUAUGUCAAAGCUAGCAGAUAAGAAUAGCUUCACCCAACAAAAGGGCACAACACAGAGCAACCCUAGUAGUGCAGCGGAUUUAGAACGUUCAGAUUUACAUGGUCUUCAUCUAGCAGCAGAUUUACAUGGAGGAGCAGCAGCAAUUCAGACGUUCAAGCAAGAAACGAUGGGAAGGUCGAUCAGACACCCCAGAGAAGGUCACGUGCAAUGAGGAGACAACGGGAGUCCUCCACGGAGGAGCGCGAGCGGCUGGAGGAAGAGGAAGCCGCCACUGGCUGCGUGGGUAAAGACCCGAGGUGGUGCAGGCUCUUGGCGUCGCCAGAGUUGAGGAGCGGCACCGGCGGUGGGAUACGGGGCGUCGGCACGCUCCAGCGGAGGGAGAAGCGAGGAGGUGGUCGGGUGAGGCACGACUUGCUAUUCCUGGUGUCGGCGCCCCUAUUCUGCUCCUCCCAGCACAGGUGCCUCUGCCCUGUGUUCAUCCGUCCCAGGGGGAGCUCGGGCAAGAACGGAUCCGUGCGCAGAGGGGGACAUCCAGGUGGUGGUGGGCGGCGGCGAGAGGUCCUAGUGGUCGGCGACGGCAGCGCGGGAUACUGGUGGUGGGCG
Molecule: long non-coding RNA, 2527 nt
Filed under: Triticum aestivum (bread wheat)
Lineage: Eukaryota; Viridiplantae; Streptophyta; Magnoliopsida; Poales; Poaceae
Description: long non-coding RNA (TAES_LNC001479)
Source: RNAcentral